GUUUUGCUUCUCUGCCAAAAAUUUAACAAAAUGAUGUUUAAGGUGAUCAGUUUGGUUUUCUUGCUACAGUUAGUCCAUGGUAACAUAGUUCCUGGACUUGAUUUAAAGUCAUCUUAUCAGAGGACAAAUGGAGACGGCAAUAGUCCAACAACAAAGAUGGAUACCACUGGAAAAAAUGUUCCAAAAAAUAGAGCCAUACACCCUUUAAUACCACUGUCCGAUAGUGAAGAUGAGGACAGUGCCCAACCCAUGACUGAUGAUGAAAAACGUCAACUUAGUUUAAACAUUAACAAAUUGUCAGACAAUAAGCUUGGGGAGGUUUUUCAUUUAAUUCAGUCAAGAGAACCGUCCCUGCGAGAUUCCGAUCUACAGGAGAUAGGAAUAGAUUUUCAAACAUUAAAGCUAUCCACACUUAGAGAACUGGAAUCUCAUGUGAUGUCCUGUUUAAAAAAGAAUCAAAAGAAACCACAUGAAGAAAGUAAAACAGUUGAUGUAGUUGGUGGUCCAAGGCGACUAGCAAGCAGUACCAGUUCUUCUGAUAGUGAGAGUAGUAGUGGUAGCAGCACGUCAAGUUAUUAUUAUUAUUAUUUCAGCAUAUUUAUAGUGUGCCUUUUCAUAUAAUCUGUUCAGGGGCACUUUACAAAGUCUUACCGUGAAUAAAUGGAGUUCUCAUUUCCAAUAUUUAAGAUACAGUGAGAAUUUUAAAACUGGCACACGAAUUGCCAUAGGCUGCAGAAAGAAAAAAGCUCUCAGAAAUGAAACAUAAAACGAUUUUACAAGGAAUCUCUAGCCAGGUCGACGUCAUUUAAUGGGUUUACCUCCCUUGGACUAUGUCAAAACUUCAAUUUUUACAUGGGAGACAACUCUUUUUAGCAUCUUAUUUUUACAUGGAGGCAGACCACCAUUAAUACAAAUUGUAGUGCAAGCUACGAUGUAGAGGCAUUGAAUUUCUAUUUUGUGUCUGGUUAGGUGUUUGGGCCAUGAAAUAAAAUGAGUAAAAAGACUUUGUUUUUUUUCAGCACCAAUAGAGGGGGAGAGAGAUUAACGAUCACUCUCGACACAAACUAGGUCAUUUCGAGACUAACAUGGUUCAAUUUUAUUUCAAUAAUUUGCUUGUGCGCAGGGGUCUUUAGGCAGUGGGAGGAAACCGAAGGACCCAGAGAAAACCCAUGAGGUCAGACUACCCAAAUUUCCUUUCUCAGUCAACAUCAUGAUUGCACCUGAGACCCCCCCGGUUAGUAAUCCAGCUGAACCAGUUCCUCACUCGGCAAACAUCGACACACUCCAGUACUCUACAUCUCGCCUUGGUUAGUGACCCAGCUGAACCACUGCCUCCCUCAGGAGACCUCAGCACCCUACUUAUUAUGAGAAGUUGCCACUUUCCGAGAGAAAUUCUCAAAAUUGCGUCUUUUGAACAUUGUGUAGAAUUUUCAUUUGCUAAGUAAAGGACAAUAUUGGUGUCAGUCAUUAUUACAUAUGUGAUAGAACUGGUUAAAUACAUUCCAAACAUAAUUUUAACACAGAGAUCAUUGCUACGGGAGACGGGUAACAAGCACGUGAAGAAACGGGAAGUGACGCCAAACAUGACAAACACGAGUUGUCCUUCUAUAUAACAGACUGAAGUAACCAGCGGUAACAGACAAACGAUUGAAUUGACAUCUUUGUAUGAUAAAACACUCUUCAAAGGCUUCUUCAUGGGCGACACCAUUUGUAAUCCGGGAAU
This is a long non-coding RNA of Patella vulgata (common limpet), 1723 nucleotides long. RefSeq lists it as uncharacterized. The record is from RefSeq and is a predicted model, not a curated record. NCBI's taxonomy places the organism in Eukaryota, Metazoa, Mollusca, Gastropoda, Patellidae. The transcript has 5 exons.